This 493-nucleotide ribosomal RNA is filed under the name uncultured bacterium. RNAcentral describes it as "partial 16S ribosomal RNA". It matches the Rfam family "Bacterial small subunit ribosomal RNA", at positions 29 to 523 of the family's 1533-position model. The record is from RNAcentral.
AUUGAACGCUGGCAGCAUGCUUUACACAUGCAAGUCGAACGGUAACAGGUUAAGCUGACGAGUGGCGAACGGGUGAGUAAUGCAUCGGAACGUGCCCGGUCGUGGGGGAUAACGCAGCGAAAGCCGCGCUAAUACCGCAUACGAUCUGAGGAUGAAAGCGGGGGACCGUAAGGCCUCGCGCGAUCGGAGCGGCCGAUGUCAGAUUAGGUAGUUGGUGAGGUAAAGGCUCACCAAGCCAACGAUCUGUAGCUGGUCUGAGAGGACGACCAGCCACACGGGGACGGAGACACGGCCCAGACUCCUACGGGAGGCAGCAGUGGGGAAUUUUGGACAAUGGGCGAAAGCCUGAUCCAGCAAUGCCGCGUGCAGGAAGAAGGCCUUCGGGUUGUAAACUGCUUCUGUACGGAGCGAAAAGGCUCUCUCUAAUACAGGGGGCUCAUGACGGUACCGUAAGAAUAAGCACCGGCUAACUACGUGCCAGCCGCCGCCGUAA